GGGGGUGCUCUGGUUUCGACAGGGUCACUGAACCGUAAGUUGCAUGCCGAGGGCCCGGCUGGCCUCGUAAAAAGCCGGAAAAACACAAGUGCAGACGAAAACUACGCACUCGCUGCUUAAUUAAAAGCAACGCCGAGCCCGGCGCCUCUCCCGUGGGGGUCGAAGUUCGGUCGCAAUACGGGAUUGGAUUUUGUCAUGCUCGGGGGCAGAGUCUGAAAUUUACUGAGCUGGUUUGAUUUUGCGCCGACCUUCUCGGGCGUGAGUCAGGCGAGACCUUAAGUACGAAGGGAAAGCAUGUAGGAGCGCACGCGGAUGAGAUUUUGGACAGGGGUUCGACUCCCCUCACCUCCAUUC
Molecule: transfer-messenger RNA, 354 nt
Filed under: Fibrobacter sp.
Lineage: Bacteria; Pseudomonadati; Fibrobacterota; Fibrobacteria; Fibrobacterales; Fibrobacteraceae
Rfam family: transfer-messenger RNA
About the family: Bacterial tmRNA, also known as 10Sa RNA or SsrA, is named for its dual tRNA and mRNA-like properties. Its role is to liberate the mRNA from a stalled ribosome. To accomplish this part of the tmRNA is used as a reading frame that ends in a translation stop signal.
Source: RNAcentral